GGUGGAUGGGCUUGUAGAAACUUU
Molecule: non-coding RNA, 24 nt
Filed under: Cricetulus griseus (Chinese hamster)
Lineage: Eukaryota; Metazoa; Chordata; Mammalia; Rodentia; Cricetidae
Source: RNAcentral